Maniola jurtina (meadow brown) is the source of this 77-nucleotide long non-coding RNA. RefSeq lists it as uncharacterized. The transcript is spliced from 3 exons. The record is from RefSeq and is a predicted model, not a curated record. Lineage: Eukaryota; Metazoa; Arthropoda; Insecta; Lepidoptera; Nymphalidae.
GGAAUUACUUACGUAACAGAGAAAAUCCUAUAUUAACUUCUCUACGUGGAUAGAGUAUAGCAUUAAUUUCGUGUAUA